RNAcentral lists this non-coding RNA (26 nucleotides) under Cricetulus griseus (Chinese hamster). RNAcentral also lists the same sequence under 1 other name. Lineage: Eukaryota; Metazoa; Chordata; Mammalia; Rodentia; Cricetidae. The record is from RNAcentral.
CUCAGCGGUUAAGAGCACUGACUGCU